This 249-nucleotide long non-coding RNA is filed under the name Trifolium pratense (red clover). RNAcentral's name for it is "long non-coding RNA (TPRA_LNC010266)". The record is from RNAcentral. Lineage: Eukaryota; Viridiplantae; Streptophyta; Magnoliopsida; Fabales; Fabaceae.
AUGAAAUAGUGGGUGUGCGUAUAUCUAAAGGAUGGAAAACGUUACUUGGAAUGAAUACCAGAGAGUACUUUGGAGUAUUAGGAGAUAAGAGCGAGUUAAGUAAAUGUUUAUCGGAAAAGGUUGAGUAUGAAAAAGUCGGUGCAGAUUAGUAAGAUUGAAUUCAUUGUACUUGUUGUAAUGAAGAAAUGAUUAGCAUAAGUGUAGUAUGUGAUGAGAAAAUAAAAGAUUUCAGAUAUUGUAAUCGUGGAC